This 516-nucleotide ribosomal RNA is filed under the name Photobacterium angustum. Its description in RNAcentral is "bacterial LSU rRNA". It matches the Rfam family "Bacterial large subunit ribosomal RNA", at positions 695 to 1210 of the family's 2925-position model. Lineage: Bacteria; Pseudomonadati; Pseudomonadota; Gammaproteobacteria; Vibrionales; Vibrionaceae. The record is from RNAcentral.
CAUAGUUGCUAGGAUUAGACCCGAAACCGAGUGAUCUAGCCAUGGGCAGGUUGAAGGUGAGGUAACACUUACUGGAGGACCGAACCGACUAAUGUUGAAAAAUUAGCGGAUGACUUGUGGCUAGGGGUGAAAGGCCAAUCAAACUCGGAGAUAGCUGGUUCUCCCCGAAAGCUAUUUAGGUAGCGCCUCGGACGAAUACUACUGGGGGUAGAGCACUGUUAAGGCUAGGGGGUCAUCCCGACUUACCAACCCUUUGCAAACUCCGAAUACCAGUAAGUACUAUCCGGGAGACACACGGCGGGUGCUAACGUCCGUCGUGAAGAGGGAAACAACCCAGACCGCCAGCUAAGGUCCCAAAGUUAUAGCUAAGUGGGAAACGAUGUGGGAAGGCUCAGACAGCCAGGAUGUUGGCUUAGAAGCAGCCAUCAUUUAAAGAAAGCGUAAUAGCUCACUGGUCGAGUCGGCCUGCGCGGAAGAUUUAACGGGGCUAAGCUAUACACCGAAGCUGCGGCAAUG